This 1376-nucleotide ribosomal RNA is filed under the name Brenneria salicis. Its description in RNAcentral is "bacterial SSU rRNA". It matches the Rfam family "Bacterial small subunit ribosomal RNA", at positions 69 to 1435 of the family's 1533-position model. Lineage: Bacteria; Pseudomonadati; Pseudomonadota; Gammaproteobacteria; Enterobacterales; Pectobacteriaceae. The record is from RNAcentral.
GUAACACAGAGGAGCUUGCUCCUUGGGUGACGAGCGGCGGACGGGUGAGUAAAGUCUGGGGAUCUGCCUGAUGGAGGGGGAUAACUACUGGAAACGGUAGCUAAUACCGCAUGACGUCUUCGGACCAAAGUGGGGGACCUUCGGGCCUCACGCCAUGAGAUGAACCCAGAUGGGAUUAGCUGGUAGGUGAGGUAACGGCUCACCUAGGCGACGAUCCCUAGCUGGUCUGAGAGGAUGACCAGCCACACUGGAACUGAGACACGGUCCAGACUCCUACGGGAGGCAGCAGUGGGGAAUAUUGCACAAUGGGGGAAACCCUGAUGCAGCCAUGCCGCGUGUGUGAAGAAGGCCUUCGGGUUGUAAAGCACUUUCAGCGGGGAGGAAGGCAAUAAACUUAAUAAGUUUGUUGAUUGACGUUACCCGCAGAAGAAGCACCGGCUAACUCCGUGCCAGCAGCCGCGGUAAUACGGAGGGUGCAAGCGUUAAUCGGAAUGACUGGGCGUAAAGCGCACGCAGGCGGUCUGUUAAGUUGGAUGUGAAAUCCCCGGGCUCAACCCGGGAACAGCAUUCAAAACUGACAGGCUAGAGUCUCGUAGAGGGGGGUAGAAUUCCAGGUGUAGCGGUGAAAUGCGUAGAGAUCUGGAGGAAUACCGGUGGCGAAGGCGGCCCCCUGGACGAAGACUGACGCUCAGGUGCGAAAGCGUGGGGAGCAAACAGGAUUAGAUACCCUGGUAGUCCACGCCGUAAACGAUGUCGACUUGGAGGCUGUGGUCUUGAACCGUGGCUUCCGGAGCUAACGCGUUAAGUCGACCGCCUGGGGAGUACGGCCGCAAGGUUAAAACUCAAAUGAAUUGACGGGGGCCCGCACAAGCGGUGGAGCAUGUGGUUUAAUUCGAUGCAACGCGAAGAACCUUACCUACUCUUGACAUCCAGAGAAGACUGUAGAGAUACGGUUGUGCCUUCGGGAGCUCUGAGACAGGUGCUGCAUGGCUGUCGUCAGCUCGUGUUGUGAAAUGUUGGGUUAAGUCCCGCAACGAGCGCAACCCUUAUCCUUUGUUGCCAGCGAUACGGUCGGGAACUCAAAGGAGACUGCCGGUGAUAAACCGGAGGAAGGUGGGGAUGACGUCAAGUCAUCAUGGCCCUUACGAGUAGGGCUACACACGUGCUACAAUGGCGCAUACAAAGAGAAGCGAGCCUGCGAGGGUGAGCGGACCUCAUAAAGUGCGUCGUAGUCCGGAUUGGAGUCUGCAACUCGACUCCAUGAAGUCGGAAUCGCUAGUAAUCGUAGAUCAGAAUGCUACGGUGAAUACGUUCCCGGGCCUUGUACACACCGCCCGUCACACCAUGGGAGUGGGUUGCAAAAGAAGUAGGUAGCU